UCUGGCUGCCCCUCUUGCUAAGGGACUGUACUUAAGGACCAUGACUCUGAGACUCAGAGAACCAAGGUCCCAGUCCCCACAAUUUAACAUAUAGUGCAGACAGUGACAAGGACCUCUGUCUUCAGGACCCAGUGCUUGGAGUAGAACUGAGGCACUUGCCUGUACCAGGCAGGCAUUCUACCAUGAACUGAAUUCCCAGGAAUAUUUCACCACUGAGCUACAUCCCAAACAGUGUUGACAUUUUUGGACUACCCAGGAGGUGGAUGUUGGAGAAUUUUUAUUCUAGACUACCAUUUGGUGCUGGCUUCUGUUGUUUUGCCUAUCACUUCCUCUACUAAGAGACCUUACUCUUCAUGCUGCUACCAGGAACUCUGCUCUCUGAAGUUGGCAACUUUCAGUUUCUCCAACUACUGAAGGAGGCUGUUGGCCUUGGGUUUCCUUCUAACAAUGGCCGCUGUUUGAAGACACUGCUCAGGGGCUCGAUUCUCCUUUGAAGUGGGAUCUGCUCAAGGUCGUGCAGUCUGGACACAGUUGAGUAGGUAUCAGUGAAGCACCUGCCAUACCGCAUAGGUGCUGUGGUCUCAGCAAAGGUGCCGGGGUCUCUGCAAAGACAAGUCAAAGAAGAGAACACCUAUGACGAGUAUGAGAACGACCUGGGCAUCACAGCCAUCGCACUUUAGGACUACCAGGCUGCGCGUGGUGACGAAAUCUCCUUUGACCCUGAUGACAUCAUCAGCAACAUAGAAAUGAUGCAUGAGGAAGGCUGGCAGCGCAGCGUGUGCAGGCGCCUGUACGGGCUCUUCCCGGCCAACUAUGUGGAGAUGUGGCAGUAGGCGGCCCGCCUGCCCUGCGGGCCUGUACAGAAUCACACUUCAGAUCAUGCCUUUGCUGGUUUGGGGCUUUGGGUUUGUAUUUUUUGUUCUGUUUUCUGAGGGUGAGGAGGGAAAUAUACAUAUUGAUUUUAUAUUUAAUACUUCUACUGAUGCUUUUGAAAAUGUUGAUGCCACAGAAUGUGCUAAUAAAUUGUAAUCAUGUUCCCUAGGA
Molecule: long non-coding RNA, 1044 nt
Organism: Cavia porcellus (domestic guinea pig)
Lineage: Eukaryota; Metazoa; Chordata; Mammalia; Rodentia; Caviidae
Exons: 7
Source: RefSeq, a predicted model, not a curated record